UAGGAAGUUUUAACUGAGGCUAUCAUGGUCCCCAAAUAUUUGUGAGCAGUCAAAAUCAGGAUCGAAUGGUUAACAGUGAGGUAGAGAGUUUGAGGCUGACUUUGUGUGACCCCCCUCCCAGGGAGAAGUCAUUGAGGCAGCCCUGCAAAUGAGCUGUGCCGUCUAUGUUCCUGUGCUGAUGACCCGGAAGCCUGAGCAAAUGGAAGCCUGCUCUCAUUUUUCCCUUUUCCUUCUGUUACUGCUGGCAAUUUGGACACAUGAGAUCAGGGAGUCGCUGGUGUGCUCUGUGUAAGCUGACCCAUCCGGUGGAGCCCCUGCAAUAAGUGAAGAAAGGGAGAGCGAGACACCAUGAAACUCCCGUGGCUUUUGAUUUGGGAGGAGGCUUAGGCUUUGUUUGAGGGUUUCUUUAUAACACACACUGCAUGAAAAGAAAAAAAAAUAAAGGUUGCGUAUGUCUUCUUUCCAUUUAAA
Long non-coding RNA from Mesocricetus auratus (golden hamster), 471 nucleotides. RefSeq lists it as uncharacterized. The transcript has 2 exons. The record is from RefSeq and is a predicted model, not a curated record. Lineage: Eukaryota; Metazoa; Chordata; Mammalia; Rodentia; Cricetidae.